RNAcentral lists this long non-coding RNA (217 nucleotides) under Elaeis guineensis (African oil palm). Its description in RNAcentral is "long non-coding RNA (EGUI_LNC051340)". The record is from RNAcentral. Lineage: Eukaryota; Viridiplantae; Streptophyta; Magnoliopsida; Arecales; Arecaceae.
UGUCUCGAGAUUUCUAUAUGAUGAUAUGCAUGUGACUGAGUAGCUAUGUGAUUAGACCUGAUGUGCAUGUUGGCAUGACUUAUAUAUAUGUGUUUUAUAGCAUGCACAUGUUAUAUUGAGCAUUAUUCAGAUUAUUAAUAUAUGAAUCUUAUUAUUUUAUUAUCAGUUAAUAUUACCGCAAAGCUAUUUUAUAUUCAUGUUGGUGUGAGUGUGGGAG